GUGGAAGCAAAAACGUUCCUGUGUGGAAGUCAAUCAUCCACCUAGCGACAAAACUAGGUAAACCGAAUAUUUUUUAUUUUUUUUCCCCCAGAAAGAAACAAAACAUUGCUCUGACCGCAUCGUCGGAAGUCGAAUGAGUUCUGAAAAGAUUGAUGGAUUGGAUCAAGAAUGGCAGAUUGAUUCAAAGAUGACAACUCCAAGUGAUAUUAAUCAAGACAUUACCAGCAAUGGCAAAACUGUUCAUCAAGUUUCUACAAAUCACAAAAUGAGCAAAAUGAUGUCUGUAGAAGUUCAUUUUUUGGAUGACACUGUCAAUUCUUUUCAAAUUCAAGUAAGAUAAAAUUUGAAUUUUUUGAUAUUUGUGCCGUAACUUAAAUUAAUUG
RNAcentral lists this long non-coding RNA (383 nucleotides) under Androctonus crassicauda. The record is from RNAcentral. Lineage: Eukaryota; Metazoa; Arthropoda; Arachnida; Scorpiones; Buthidae.